CUACGGGUCGCACCAGUGGGGAAUAUUGCGCAAUGGGGGAAACCCUGACGCAGCGACGCCGCGUGAGCGAUGAAGGCCUUCGGGUCGUAAAGCUCUGUCAGGUGGGAAGAAACCUUCGCGGACGAAUAAUCCGUGGAAUUGACGGUACCACCAGAGGAAGCACCGGCUAACUCCGUGCCAGCAGCCGCGGUAACACGGAGGGUGCAAGCGUUGCUCGGAAUUACUGGGCGUAAAGGGCGCGCAGGCGGUCCGGUCAGUCGGAAGUGAAAUCCGUCGGCUCAACCGGCGAAUUGCUUCCGAUACUACCGGACUUGAGUACGGGAGAGGAGAGCGGAAUUCCCAGUGUAGAGGUGAAAUUCGUAGAUAUUGGGAAGAACACCGGUGGCGAAGGCGGCUCUCUGGACCGAUACUGACGCUGAGGCGCGAAAGCGUGGGGAGCGAACAGGAUUAGAUACCCUUGUAGUC
RNAcentral lists this ribosomal RNA (465 nucleotides) under uncultured bacterium. Its description in RNAcentral is "partial 16S ribosomal RNA". It matches the Rfam family "Bacterial small subunit ribosomal RNA", at positions 339 to 795 of the family's 1533-position model. The record is from RNAcentral.